RNAcentral lists this transfer RNA (73 nucleotides) under Streptomyces nitrosporeus. RNAcentral's name for it is "tRNA-Gly". Lineage: Bacteria; Bacillati; Actinomycetota; Actinomycetes; Kitasatosporales; Streptomycetaceae. The record is from RNAcentral.
GGGCGGCUUCGCGCAGGGAGCGGUCCGGCGGUUUCCGGCCGCCGGACCACCGGAUCGGGCCGGGUUCCGCCGG